Long non-coding RNA from Andrographis paniculata, 1651 nucleotides. RefSeq lists it as uncharacterized. The transcript has 3 exons. The record is from RefSeq and is a predicted model, not a curated record. Lineage: Eukaryota; Viridiplantae; Streptophyta; Magnoliopsida; Lamiales; Acanthaceae.
AAAUUGCAGCAGGGUUUUAGUUUUUAGAUCAGUUCAGUUGAUUAUGGUGGUUCUAGAGAGAGAAAGAGAGGUUGGAUGGAGAUGAAAAGCAAUGGAAUUUCACCUUUACUCAACUCUCAAGAUAACCUUAAAAUGCUACAAUGGCUGACGCCAUUAGGAAGCACAGAAAAGGCAGUGCCGCUGUGAAACCAACUCUCUCCUGCAAAUUCACACAAGACAUUAAAAUACCUCCAAAUCAAUGGUGUGUUAUGAUUGAAUCAAAAGAAUGUUAAUAAUGGCUUCAAUGUAGUUAACCUUUCUCAUUAUUGGCACAAACAAGAAGGUUCUAGGCUAAUAAAAGCAGGAAAUUCUAUAAAGGAGUGAGGGAGAAGUUAAUCCUCACCGAUUCUGCUGAAGUAAUGGAUAAAUAGCCAUCGGAAGUGAUUCCUGUCUCCGCCGCUGGCGGUGGUGGAGCAGCCGCGCCGGAGACUGGGAUCGACGUGUUCGUACUGAUCAGGCCUGUUGAAUUGAACCCUAGAUUGUACACCGGCGUUCCGUCGGGCUUGAAUAGCCCGAAAUUCCUCUCCGACGUCGGCCCUGGCUUCUGAUUCUCGUUGAAUAAAGCGAAAACAUAUACGUUCAAAUCGGUGUUAGGCCUCAUCGGCGUCCCCUUCUUCUCGGAAAGUAGUUUCAUCAGGUUGCCGUUGUACUUCCUCGCGUUUUCCGGCGUUGCUCCUGCCUCGUCGGCGUCUCCUUUCGACGGCCAACCGGUUUCGGAGAUCUGCAAACCGAUGUUCCUGUACCCUAGCUUCUCGAUGGCGGAAUAGGCGGCGUCGAUUUGGGCGUAGAACAUGUUGUCGUAGCGUAAUCCCGAAGCUUGAUCCACAGUCGCCGAAUCGGACUCGAACAGGACGUAAUCCAGAGAGACUUGCUUCGGAUUCGCCUUGUAGGCGAAGAAAGGAUACGCGUUGAUUAGGAACGGAGAACCGACUUUGCAGUGAAAAUCGAGGAUACUGUAGAGCUUCUGAGUCAGAUCUCGGCGGAAUUCGCCGGCGGAGGGAGGGUAAGAAACUUCUAGAAUCGCUAAAUUGUGAGCCGUCGUAACCGCCACUUGCCUGUCGAGGUUGAGAGUGACGAGCGCAGAGUGGAUGCUUUCCAUGGCGGGGAGAAGGUUGCGGGAGAGAGCGGAGUCGUUGAACGUCAGAACCUCGUUUCCGACGGCAAUGGAGGUGAUUUUCGUCGCCGGCAAGUAGCAUUGAACGUUGGAUUUAAUCCAGGCUAGGGCUUGCUUGGAGUCCUUCAUCCUCGCUAAAUUCUCGUUUCCGACGCCGACGAUGAACUCCACGCCGGAGUUACCGAACGCCUUGAGCACGCGCGGAUCGGCGUCGUAGAGCUUGAUUUUGGUGGCGCCGAUGGAUUUGACGAGCGGCACCACCGCCGCCGGGCUGGGGAGGUUGUCGCCGAUCUGGCCGUAGUUGAUUCCGAUGGAAAACGACGUCGUACAAAGCAAGGACGCUGCGGUUACAAAGCAUGCAGUGACAUUUGGGAGCACCAGGGUGUCCGGCUCCAUCGAAGUCAGUCUGCUAUAGGGCAAUGGCGCGAGGUCCUGGAGCUUCCAGGUAUUUUAUCUACUUUGUUCCUUUCACUUUACUUUGUUUUUUGUUUUUAUUUU